AACGAACGCUGGCGGCGUGCUUAAUACAUGCAAGUCGUGCGAGAAAGUUGCCUUCGGGCGAUGAGUAGAGCGGCGAACGGGUGAGUAACACGUAAGGAACCUGCCCCUGAAUCUGGAAUAACUUUGCCAACGCGGAGCUAAUACCGGAUGUGAUCUUGACAUCGCAUGGUGAUGAGAUCAAAGGCGACCUCUUCUUGAAAGUUGUCGUUCGGGGAUGGCCUUGCGGACCAUUAGCUAGUUGGCGGGGUAACGGCCCACCAAGGCUACGAUGGUUAGCCGACCUGAGAGGGUGAUCGGCCACAUUGGGACUGAGAUACGGCCCAGACUCCUACGGGAGGCAG
This 341-nucleotide ribosomal RNA is filed under the name uncultured Fibrobacterota bacterium. RNAcentral describes it as "bacterial SSU rRNA". It matches the Rfam family "Bacterial small subunit ribosomal RNA", at positions 29 to 351 of the family's 1533-position model. The record is from RNAcentral. Lineage: Bacteria; Pseudomonadati; Fibrobacterota.